GAUGAACGCUAGCUACAGGCUUAACACAUGCAAGUCGCGGGGCAGCAUGGGGGUUGCUUGCAAUCCCCGAUGGCGACCGGCGCACGGGUGAGUAACGCGUAUCCAACCUGCCCUUCACCACGGGAUAACCCGGCGAAAGUCGGACUAAUACCGUAUGUUGUCCAUUGACGGCAUCCGAUUUGGACGAAAGGUUUGGCGGUGAAGGAUGGGGAUGCGUCCGAUUAGCUGGACGGCGGGGUGACGGCCCACCGUGGCGACGAUCGGUAGGGGUUCUGAGAGGAAGGUCCCCCACACUGGAACUGAGACACGGUCCAGACUCCUACGGGAGGCAGCAUUGAGGAAUAUUGGUCAAUGGGCGUAAGCCUGAACCAGCCAAGUAGCGUGCAGGAUGACGGCCCUAUGGGUUGUAAACUGCUUUUAUGCGGGGAUAAAGUGGCCCACGUGUGGGUUUUUGCAGGUACCGCAUGAAUAAGGACCGGCUAAUUCCGUG
Molecule: ribosomal RNA, 490 nt
Filed under: uncultured bacterium
Lineage: Bacteria
Description: partial 16S ribosomal RNA
Rfam family: Bacterial small subunit ribosomal RNA
Source: RNAcentral